UACGUAGGGUGCGAGCGUUGUCCGGAAUUAUUGGGCGUAAAGAGCUUGUAGGCGGUCUGUCGCGUCUGCUGUGAAAAUCCGGGGCUCAACCCCGGACUUGCAGUGGGUACGGGCAGACUAGAGUGUGGUAGGGGAGACUGGAAUUCCUGGUGUAGCGGUGAAAUGCGCAGAUAUCAAGAGGAACACCUGAGGUGAAGACGGGUUGCUGGGCCGACACUGACGCUGACAGCGCGAAAGCCAGGGGAGCAAACGGG
This 254-nucleotide ribosomal RNA is filed under the name uncultured bacterium. RNAcentral's name for it is "partial 16S ribosomal RNA". It matches the Rfam family "Bacterial small subunit ribosomal RNA", at positions 524 to 776 of the family's 1533-position model. The record is from RNAcentral.